RNAcentral lists this ribosomal RNA (913 nucleotides) under Nectria pseudotrichia. Its description in RNAcentral is "eukaryotic LSU rRNA". It matches the Rfam family "Eukaryotic large subunit ribosomal RNA", at positions 1 to 942 of the family's 3401-position model. Lineage: Eukaryota; Fungi; Ascomycota; Sordariomycetes; Hypocreales; Nectriaceae. The record is from RNAcentral.
GGUUGACCUCGGAUCAGGUAGGAAUACCCGCUGAACUUAAGCAUAUCAAUAAGCGGAGGAAAAGAAACCAACAGGGAUUGCCCUAGUAACGGCGAGUGAAGCGGCAACAGCUCAAAUUUGAAAUCUGGCCCUUGUGGUCCGAGUUGUAAUUUGUAGAGGAUGCUUUUGGUUAGGUGCCUUCCGAGUUCCCUGGAACGGGACGCCAUAGAGGGUGAGAGCCCCGUCUGGUUGGACACCGAGCCUCUGUAAAGCUCCUUCGACGAGUCGAGUAGUUUGGGAAUGCUGCUCUAAAUGGGAGGUAUAUGUCUUCUAAAGCUAAAUAUUGGCCAGAGACCGAUAGCGCACAAGUAGAGUGAUCGAAAGAUGAAAAGCACUUUGAAAAGAGGGUUAAAAAGUACGUGAAAUUGUUGAAAGGGAAGCGCUUGUGACCAGACUUGGGCCCGGUCAAUCAUCCAGGGUUCUCCCUGGUGCACUUUUCCGGCUCAGGCCAGCAUCAGUUUGUCGCGGGGGAUAAAGACGUUGGGAAUGUGGCUCCUCCGGGAGUGUUAUAGCCCUUCGUGUAAUACCCUGCUUCGGACUGAGGUUCGCGCAUCUGCAAGGAUGCUGGCGUAAUGGUCAUCAGCGACCCGUCUUGAAACACGGACCAAGGAGUCGUCUUCGUAUGCGAGUGUUCGGGUAUCAAACCCCUACGCGUAAUGAAAGUGAACGCAGGUGAGAGCUUCGGCGCAUCAUCGACCGAUCCUGAUGUUCUCGGAUGGAUUUGAGUAAGAGCAUACGGGGCCGGACCCGAAAGAAGGUGAACUAUGCCUGUAUAGGGUGAAGCCAGAGGAAACUCUGGUGGAGGCUCGCAGCGGUUCUGACGUGCAAAUCGAUCGUCAAAUAUGGGCAUGGGGGCGAAAGACUAAUCGAACCU